This is a long non-coding RNA of Bradysia coprophila, 982 nucleotides long. Lineage: Eukaryota; Metazoa; Arthropoda; Insecta; Diptera; Sciaridae. The record is from RefSeq and is a predicted model, not a curated record.
UUUCGCACGUAGAUUAUUUGGUUGGGUAUUAUUUUGCUCGUAUCUAACUUCACUCUUCGCAGUCAGAAUGACAUUCCACAAGAUGUUUUGUUUGUUUUAUUUUACUUUUUGUAUAAAAUAGUGAUCUGAAUAGUUCGCCUAAAGUUAAACAAGUAAUUUGGUCCUCGUAUGGAGUACUAAGUCGACUCAAAAUGAAACGUCCGUGAAUUCUGUAAUUGCGAAACGAACAACAUUUGACAAAAUUCAAUCGUCGUUUGUUCCGUUCUGCCACAAUGGUUAUUUUAUGCAGUUCGCCGAUUCAAAAUAAACAAAGAUAAAAAUUAAUGAAUGUAGCACUGCUACAUUGUAGCAGCAUGAAAACGGACAAUAUUACCUUCUAGGAGCUAACAGAAUGAUCGGAUCAAUGGAUCUGUGUUUAUACCGAAGGCAGGGAUAGGACAAUGAAUAAUGUCCAUAAAAACUGCUGGCAACACACCAUUACACCGAUGACGAAAAAUUGGACGGAAGAACUGGAUGCGUUUUCCGAGAUUAUGACGGUGGUUCAAACUUUACUUGAAUUGGACGAUUAACAUCAUACGGAACAGGAAUUAAGUAAACCAGUUGAAUUCCUCGGAUGUGAUGAACACUUGAUGCUGAGGACGUUGUCUUCUCCAAAAAGGUUGAACGGUGAAGAGCUAAGGAAUGGAAUUUCAUCACAAUCUUGGAUGGCAGCCUUUGGAUAAAUUUGCAAGGAACGUUUCAGUGCUUCCUGCUAAGCUGAAAUUGAGUGCACAUUAUCUCUUCUGUAAAAACAAAACAAAAUUAAUCAGAUUGCAAAGGAAGUCUAGAAGUUUUGCAGGUUGACUAGGUUACUCUUCAUUUCCGAUUUGCAUUAAAAAUUGUAAACAACGAAUGUACGAGUUCAAGACACAUAAAAGUAUUUGAUAUGAAUUUAUUCGUAAAAUUAAACAAUGAAAAAUCUUGUCCUACCGUUCUCACAUUA